This 461-nucleotide ribosomal RNA is filed under the name uncultured bacterium. RNAcentral's name for it is "SSU rRNA". It matches the Rfam family "Bacterial small subunit ribosomal RNA", at positions 26 to 514 of the family's 1533-position model. The record is from RNAcentral.
AGCCUGAACGCUGGCGGCGUGGCUAAGACAUGCAAGUCGAACGGAUGUAGCAAUACAUCAGUGGCGGACGGGUGAGUAAUGAAUCGCUAAUGUGCCUCGGAGCCAGGGAUAGCUGUCCGAAAGGACAGGUAAUACCUGAUGAGACCACGAACAGGCAUCUGUUUGUGCUCAAAGCAGCAAUGCACUCUGGGAGCAGGCGAUUUUGUAUCAGCUUGUUGGUGAGGUAACGGCUCACCAAGGCGACGACGCAUAGCUGGUCUGAGAGGACGGCCAGCCACAUUGGGACUGAGACACUGCCCAGACUCCUACGGGGGGCUGCAGUAACGAAUCUUCCGCAAUGCACGAAAGUGUGACGGAGCGACGCCGCGUGUAGGAUGAAGUCCUUCGGGAUGUAAACUACUGUCGAGGGUAAGAAGUUCUGAUCUACCCAGAGGAAGGGACGGCUAACUCUGUGCCAGCAG